Molecule: long non-coding RNA, 2764 nt
Organism: Sarcophilus harrisii (Tasmanian devil)
Lineage: Eukaryota; Metazoa; Chordata; Mammalia; Dasyuromorphia; Dasyuridae
Source: Ensembl
GAGGUAACAAUUCAUUUACAUAUCCACCUAAUGUUAGCAAGGAAAUUGAAUUAUUGAACAAAUCUUUGAAAGAAAAGAAAUUUUGGUUUGGUGAGUUUUGGAAAAGCAAGUUUAUAGGGAAAAACAUAGAAUGAAGCAACCUUUCUAAGAGUAUUGAUAGUAUUUUAGAAUUAGGAAGAGGGCAGAGGAUACUCGGGCCUGCCUAUUCUUUUUAUCAAUGAUAGGAUUAAGGAGUGAAGUGAAUGCUGGUUAUUGUGACAUAGGCCCUUUAGGUGACUGAGGUACUUGCUAAUAAGGACUAAAGAGGAACCUGGAAUAGCACAGGCAGAUUCCUUCUACUUGGUAUGUUUCUUUCAUGAAAGUCAACUGGACUAGAUAAAUGGCUUUAUGUUUUGGCUACUUAGUUGGAGAAGUAUAUAGCAUUGUAAGCCUAGACCCAGGAAGAGUCAAGUUCAAAUCCUAUCUUAGAAACCAAAGUCACUUUGCCUCUUUCCCUCAUCUUUAAAAUGAGGACAAAACCUACUUGCUUGGGUUAUUCUGAGAAUCACAUGAGAAUAUGUUGCACUUAGCACAGUACCUGGCACACAGUAAAUGCUACACAAACAUUAUUAUUUAUUAAAUUCCAAACUAUAACAAGAAAACUUUAAAGCUGAAAUUUAUAAAAACAAACAAGUAUUGCAUAAUUAACUCAGAAGAGUAAGGGCUAUCUAUGGCUUAACUGGUGUCAUUUUGCCAAAAAAGCAAAAGUUAAGUUGUGUUAAGAAAAAGUAAGAAUAUUAGUUGUCAUAGCAAGGUUUUAGAAACAAUUCUACAGAAGUAUACAGAAUUCAUAGGAAAAAAUGCUAUUCCCUGUCCUUAAAACAAAAAAUCUGAUUUGCCUAUUAAUCCUGAAAGCAGAUUUAUGAUGGGGAAAAAAAAUUCAAAUUUCCUAUAUAUUUAAAUUUGAAAUUCUGGUAUAGUUGAGUAAAAAGGUCAAAAAGCAUUUUUGUCAGGAGAAUUAUUCUAUUGUCCCAUUCACAUUUUUCAGAGAGACUGUUUUCACAAACUUUGUGUUCUAAACAGGUAAACGUUUUUGUGGAAAUGGCUUCAAUGACAAAGCAUCAUGAGGAAGGAUAAUUAUAGCAGGAAAAUUUCUGUCCUCAACAGAAGGCAUAAAUUCCAUCAGUACAAAUUGCUUUUUUUAGUUCCCAUGAAAAAAAUAUUUUAAUUCCUAAAACUUGUCUUUUGUUUUGAAGGUUAAAAAUCAAUUUCCUUUUAAAUUUCUAACAUAUAAAUGGUGCCAAAAGAAAGGCUGUGGCCCAGCUCAUUCAUUUAACUGUUAAACUAAUUUUUGGAAUUACUCAACUUCCUGCAUCAAUGUAUCUUAGAUGUCUUCAAUCCAGUUAUAAAUUGUACUAUUUGAUUAUUGAAUCUAUUCUAGCAGGCCACCUUAACGUCACUUAAAUAAUGUCCAACUUCAUCGGACAUCUCAGGAUAUCACUUAUGAUUUCUUCUGCAAGCUUCAGAACAAUAAAGUUGGCUCUUUGGGGGAAUAAAUCCAUGGUCAUGAAGUUUAAUCUUUUCCAAACUGGGCUAGUUUUCUUUUAAAUGAGCAUCAAUUAUUAGAAUGUUCAGAAUAAACGUUUUGAAAUUGAUGGCUCAACAAUUGUGUGUGGUGUCUACAUCUAUGUUUAUGUACACAUAUGCAUACAAUCCACAUGUGUAUGUAUAUACAUGUGGUUUAUAUAAAUCAUAGUCCUCCAGGAGAUCAUUAUAUACUUCAACAACAAUAUUAUAUGAUGACCAGUUCUGAUGGACCUGGCCAUCCUCAGCAACAAGAUCAACCAAAUCAUUUCCAAUGGAGCAGUAAUGAACUGAACCAGCUACGCCCAAAGAAAGAACUCUGGGAGAUGACUAAAAACCAUUACAUUGAAUUCCCAAUCCCUAUAUUUAUGCCCACCUGCAUUUUUGAUUUCCUUCACAAGCUAAUUGUACAAUAUUUCAGAGUCUGAUUCUUUUUGUACAGCAAAAUAACGUUUUGGUCAUGUAUACUUAUUGUGUAUCUAGUUUAUAUUUUAAAAUAUUAAACAUCUACUGGUCAUCCUGCCAUCUGGGGAGGGGAUGGGGGGUAAGAGGUGAAAAAUUGGAACAAGAGGUUUGGCAAUUGUUAAUGCUGUAAAGUUACCCAUGCAUAUAAUACCUGUAAAUAAAAGGCUAUUAAAGAAAAAAAAAAGAAAAGAAAAAGAACAAACCUUCAAUAAAUUCACAAACCCUUCUACCAAAAAAAAUAAAUAAAUCAUAGUCCUCACUUUUUUAGAAUUAAGCAAAACGUUCCCGUUUAAAAGUUCUAUAUGCAAUAUAUUUAAUAUAUAUAGAUUGAUCUAUCUAAUUCAGCAAAAAACCCACAUCUAGUAUUAGGCCGAAAAGCUAUUAAUCACAGGCAGGGCCCCAUCUUACCCCUAAAUUAAUGCAGUAGCUUGCUGGUGGGUCUGCCUGCCUCUAGUUUCUCCCCACUCUAAUUCAUUCUCUCCACUCAGCCAUUAAAGUGAUCUUCCUUAAGUCCAUGUCUGAUAUUGCCACCUCUUGAAUAAAGUCCAGUGACACUAUCGCCUCCAUGAUCAAAAAGGAAAUACUGAUUUGACAUUCUAAGCCCUUCACAACCUAGUUGCGUCCUUUUCUUUCUUCUUCCAACAUUUAUUCUUGGAUCUAAUGACAUUGUCUUGCAAACAGACUCCAUUUUCUCUAUUGUAAAAUAAUUUGUAAGUGUUAAUCCUCUAAAUCUUUC